GCGGAUGUGGCGAAACUGGCAGACGCGCAAGAUUCAGGUUCUUGUGGGAUUAAUACCCCGUGGAGGUUCGAUUCCUCUCAUCCGCA
Molecule: transfer RNA, 86 nt
Filed under: Phycisphaerae bacterium
Lineage: Bacteria; Pseudomonadati; Planctomycetota; Phycisphaerae
Description: tRNA-Leu
Rfam family: tRNA
About the family: Transfer RNA (tRNA) molecules are approximately 80 nucleotides in length. Their secondary structure includes four short double-helical elements and three loops (D, anti-codon, and T loops). Further hydrogen bonds mediate the characteristic L-shaped molecular structure. tRNAs have two regions of fundamental functional importance: the anti-codon, which is responsible for specific mRNA codon recognition, and the 3' end, to which the tRNAs corresponding amino acid is attached (by aminoacyl-tRNA synthetases). tRNAs cope with the degeneracy of the genetic code in two manners: having more than one tRNA (with a specific anti-codon) for a particular amino acid; and 'wobble' base-pairing, i.e. permitting non-standard base-pairing at the 3rd anti-codon position.
Source: RNAcentral